Pollicipes pollicipes is the source of this 238-nucleotide long non-coding RNA. RefSeq lists it as uncharacterized. The transcript is spliced from 3 exons. The record is from RefSeq and is a predicted model, not a curated record. Lineage: Eukaryota; Metazoa; Arthropoda; Thecostraca; Pollicipedomorpha; Pollicipedidae.
CGUGUGGUAAACCAACCGCGACGCCCCAGCACCCGCCACGCUGUGGAGUUGAACGGCCGUGGGACGCCAGAGACCCCCAGGGGCGAGGGCGCAAAACCCUGGGCAGAGCCGGAGCAGACCGCACCGAAGCAGACCACGAGGGACUCGGGCUCGGAGUCGGCGAGCAGCGCAGCCCACCCUCACCACAGCCGGACGCUGGCCGCCUCCAUGGCCGCGCUCAGCAUCUCGGCACCGGAGC